RNAcentral lists this ribosomal RNA (740 nucleotides) under uncultured eukaryote. Its description in RNAcentral is "bacterial SSU rRNA". It matches the Rfam family "Eukaryotic small subunit ribosomal RNA", at positions 663 to 1426 of the family's 1831-position model. The record is from RNAcentral.
GACUUGGACUGGCCGCCAGGGUCCGGAAGAGGAGCGAGUUCACUCGAUCAUCUACGUUACGUGGGUGGUGGGGAGCGACGAGCUCUGGGUUACUGUGAAGAAAUUAGAGUGUUUAAAGCAGGCAGGAAAGCUUGAAUAGACGAGCAUGGAAUAACAAGAUAGGACAUUGAGAGCCUCUUGUUGGUGAAGGGGGACGGAUGUAAUGAUUAAUAGGGUCAGUUGGGGGCAUUAGUAUUCAGUAGUCAGAGGUGAAAUUCUUGGAUUUACUGAAGACUAACUAGUGCGAAAGCAUUUGCCAAGGAUGUUUUCAUUAAUCAAGAACGAAAGUUAGGGGAUCGAAGACGAUCAGAUACCGUCGUAGUCUUAACUAUAAACGAUGCCGACUAAGGAUCGGCAGGGGUCGGUUAGCGACACUGUCAGGACUUUGUGAGAAAUCAAAGUUUAUGGGUUCUGGGGGGAGUAUGGUCGCAAGGCUGAAACUUAAAGGAAUUGACGGAAGGGCACCACCAGGAGUGGAGCCUGCGGCUUAAUUUGACUCAACACGGGAAAACUCACCAGGUCCGGACAUGGUAAGGAUUGACAGAUUGAGAGCUCUUUCCUGAUUCUGUGGGUGGUGGUGCAUGGCCGUUCUUAGUUGGUGGAGUGAUUUGUCUGGUUAAUUCCGAUAACGAACGAGACCUUGACCUGCUAACUAGAUGCUAGUACGAGAGUAUUGGUAGACUUCUUAGAGGGACUGACUA